This 23-nucleotide non-coding RNA is filed under the name Cricetulus griseus (Chinese hamster). The record is from RNAcentral. Lineage: Eukaryota; Metazoa; Chordata; Mammalia; Rodentia; Cricetidae.
UGAAAACUGUAGGAGAUUGCUGA